UUUAAUUGAAACCAAAUUAGAGGUAUAUCACUGUUAAUGAUAACAUUGGAGAUUUCCCAAUUAA
Molecule: transfer RNA, 64 nt
Filed under: Lamiinae sp. 4 ACP-2013
Lineage: Eukaryota; Metazoa; Arthropoda; Insecta; Coleoptera; Cerambycidae
Description: tRNA-Asn
Source: RNAcentral